UUGUUGGGCGGCGAGCGGCGGACGGGUGAGUAAUGCCUGGGAAUAUGCCCUGAUGUGGGGGAUAACCAUUGGAAACGAUGGUUAAUACCGCAUAAUCUCUUCGGAGCAAAGAGGGGGACCUUCGGGCCUCUCGCGUCAGGAUUAGCCCAGGUGAGAUUAGCUUGUUGGUGAGGUAAGAGCUCACCAAGGCAACGAUCUCUAGCUGGUCUGAGAGGAUGAUCAGCCACACUGGAACUGAGACACGGUCCAGACUCCUACGGGAGGCAGCAGUGGGGAAUAUUGCACAAUGGGGGAAACCCUGAUGCAGCCAUGCCGCGUGUAUGAAGAAGGCCUUCGGGUUGUAAAGUACUUUCAGUUGUGAGGAAGGCGUUGUCGUUAAUAGCGGCAAUGUUUGACGUUAGCAACAGAAGAAGCACCGGCUAACUCCGUGCCAGCAGCCGCGGUAAUACGGAGGGUGCGAGCGUUAAUCGGAAUUACUGGGCGUAAAGCGCAUGCAGGCG
RNAcentral lists this ribosomal RNA (500 nucleotides) under Photobacterium sp. ZXM016. RNAcentral describes it as "bacterial SSU rRNA". It matches the Rfam family "Bacterial small subunit ribosomal RNA", at positions 81 to 577 of the family's 1533-position model. The record is from RNAcentral. Lineage: Bacteria; Pseudomonadati; Pseudomonadota; Gammaproteobacteria; Vibrionales; Vibrionaceae.